GGCGGACGGGUGAGUAACACGUAGGCAACCAGCCUGUAAGACUGGGAUAACUCGUGGAAACGCGAGCUAAUACCGGAUAACACUUUUCAUCUCCUGAUGAGAAGUUGAAAGGCGGCUUUUGCUGUCACUUACAGAUGGGCCUGCGGCGCAUUAGCUAGUUGGUAAGGUAACGGCUUACCAAGGCGACGAUGCGUAGCCGACCUGAGAGGGUGAUCGGCCACACUGGGACUGAGACACGGCCCAGACUCCUACGGGCGGCAGCAGUAGGGAAUCUUCCGCAAUGGACGAAAGUCUGACGGAGCAACGCCGCGUGAGUGAUGAAGGUUUUCGGAUCGUAAAACUCUGUUGUUAGGGAAGAACAAGUACUAUAGUUACUGAUAGUACCUUGACGGUACCUUACCAGAAAGCCACGGCUAACUACGUGCCAGCAGCCGCGGUAAUACGUAGGUGGCAAGCGUUGUCCGGAAUUAUUGGGCGUAAAGCGCUCGCAGGCGGUUCUUUAAGUCUGAUGUGAAAUCUUACGGCUCCACCGUAAACGUGCAUUGGAAACUGGGGAACUUGAGUGCAGAAGAGGAGAGUGGAAUUCCACGUGUAGCGGUGAAAUGAGUAGAGAUGUGGAGGAACACCAGUGGCGAAGGCGACUCU
Molecule: ribosomal RNA, 645 nt
Filed under: uncultured bacterium
Lineage: Bacteria
Description: bacterial SSU rRNA
Rfam family: Bacterial small subunit ribosomal RNA
Source: RNAcentral